Long non-coding RNA from Ornithodoros turicata, 556 nucleotides. RefSeq lists it as uncharacterized. The record is from RefSeq and is a predicted model, not a curated record. NCBI's taxonomy places the organism in Eukaryota, Metazoa, Arthropoda, Arachnida, Ixodida, Argasidae. The transcript is spliced from 2 exons.
AGAACGCGCGCGAAAUCCGAAACUGCACCACGUGACACGAGGCGAGAGCACCUUUGCGCGCGCAUCGAUUUCAGAGCUCUCAAGCGUACAGAGCUACUACCAUAUCCGCUAUCUGCCGAGAAGCGGCGUUCAGGUGAUCUCUGACCAGGAGUCGCACCCGCACCCUUGUGGCCACAUGUGCAUCCCCCGGGUAGACCACCCAUGGCUUCCCACAGACGUAAAUUCCUGAAUCAGUGGCCUCCACGUGGCCAACCAUGAGCUGGGCAGGUUCGUCCGCGGUGGAGAAGUAAGCCCUGCCUGCCCAGACGUGGCCUGGACGGUGUUUGGCCUGCAGGACGUUGCCGGAGCCCAUAUCGACGGAGUACACGGGACCUGGGAUACCCUGCUUGUACCAGUUGACUCCUUGGGCCCAGGAGUCUUGCGUCGGAUGCCUCAGAGGACAAGGCAGCGCCGUCUCUCCACCCACACGGCUUGUUACCGUCGAGCCGUCUGUAGAGUCUACGGAAAGAAACAAAGAGAACACCGUUGAAACAAAAAAAGGUAUAUUGCAUGAUGG